UUUUAUGGCGGUCAUGCGCAGGGCGUCUUCGGACGCGCCGGUUCUCCAAGUCACCGGUCUACCAACCCGCGUAUGGCCGCCACCCUU
This 87-nucleotide non-coding RNA is filed under the name Pseudomonas kilonensis. RNAcentral also lists the same sequence under 1 other name. Lineage: Bacteria; Pseudomonadati; Pseudomonadota; Gammaproteobacteria; Pseudomonadales; Pseudomonadaceae. The record is from RNAcentral.